Molecule: ribosomal RNA, 491 nt
Filed under: uncultured bacterium
Lineage: Bacteria
Description: partial 16S ribosomal RNA
Rfam family: Bacterial small subunit ribosomal RNA
Source: RNAcentral
GUGAACGCUGGCGGUAGGCCUAACACAUGCAAGUCGAACGGCAGCACAGUAAGCGCUUGCUCUUACGGGUGGCGAGUGGCGGACGGGUGAGGAAUACAUCGGAAUCUACUUUUUCGUGGGGGAUAACGUAGGGAAACUUACGCUAAUACCGCAUACGACCUACGGGUGAAAGCAGGGGAUCUUCGGACCUUGCGCGAUUGAAUGAGCCGAUGUCGGAUUAGCUAGUUGGCGGGGUAAAGGCCCACCAAGGCGACGAUCCGUAGCUGGUCUGAGAGGAUGAUCAGCCACACUGGAACUGAGACACGGUCCAGAAUCCUACGGGAGGCAGCAGUGGGGAAUAUUGGACAAUGGGCGCAAGCCUGAUCCAGCCAUACCGCGUGGGUGAAGAAGGCCUUCGGGUUGUAAAGCCCUUUUGUUGGGAAAGAAAAGCAGCAGGUUAAUACCCCGCUGUUCUGACGGUACCCAAAGAAUAAGCACCGGCUAACUUCGUG